UACGAGGGGGGCAAGCGUUGUUCGGAAUUAUUGGGCGUAAAGGGCGCGUAGGCGGUGCGGUAAGUCACCUGUGAAAACUCUGGGCUCAACUCAGAGCCUGCAGGCGAAACUGCCGUGCUUGAGUGUGGGAGAGGUGCGUGGAAUUCCCGGUGUAGCGGUGAAAUGCGUAGAUAUCAGGAGGAACACCGGUGGCGAAGGCGGGUCUCUGGGCCGAUACUGACGUGGAGGAGCGAAAGCAUGGGGGAGCGAACAGG
This 254-nucleotide ribosomal RNA is filed under the name uncultured bacterium. RNAcentral's name for it is "partial 16S ribosomal RNA". It matches the Rfam family "Bacterial small subunit ribosomal RNA", at positions 524 to 776 of the family's 1533-position model. The record is from RNAcentral.